RNAcentral lists this ribosomal RNA (445 nucleotides) under uncultured bacterium. RNAcentral describes it as "partial 16S ribosomal RNA". It matches the Rfam family "Bacterial small subunit ribosomal RNA", at positions 338 to 795 of the family's 1533-position model. The record is from RNAcentral.
CCUACGGGUGGCAGCAGUCGGGAAUAUUGCGCAAUGGAGGAAACUCUGACGCAGUGACGCCGCGUGCAGGAAGAAGGUUUUCGGAUUGUAAACCCCUGUCAUGUGGGAGCAAAAUAAAAAGAUAGUACCACAAGAGGAAGAGACGGCUAACUCUGUGCCAGCAGCCGCGGUAAUACAGAGGUCUCAAGCGUUGUUCGGAAUCACUGUGCGUAAAGCGUGAGUAGGCUGUUUCGUAAGUCGUGUGUGAAAGGCGCGGGCUCAACACGCGGACGGCACAGGAUACUGCGAGACUAGAGUAAUGGAGGGGGAACCGGAAUUCUCGGUGUAGCAGUGAAAUGCGUAGAUAUCGAGAGGAACACUCGUGGCGAAGGCGGGUUCCUGGACAUUAACUGACGCUGAGGCACGAAGGCCAGGGGAGCGAAAGGGAUUAGAUACCCGGGUAGUC